RNAcentral lists this ribosomal RNA (715 nucleotides) under uncultured bacterium. RNAcentral's name for it is "bacterial SSU rRNA". It matches the Rfam family "Bacterial small subunit ribosomal RNA", at positions 202 to 914 of the family's 1533-position model. The record is from RNAcentral.
AAAGCUAUCGCCAAAGGAUGAGCCCGCGUUUGAUUAGCUUGUUGGUGAGGUAACGGCUCACCAAGGCUCCGAUCAAUAGCUGGUCUGAGAGGACGAUCAGCCACACUGGAACUGAGACACGGUCCAGACUCCUACGGGAGGCAGCAGUCGGGAAUAUUGGGCAAUGGGCGAAAGCCUGACCCAGCAACGCCGCGUGAAGGAUGAAGGCCCUCGGGUCGUAAACUUCUGUCGAGAGGGAAGAAUGCGUACGGGUAAAUAAUCCGUGCGUUUGACGGUACCUCCAAAGGAAGCACCGGCUAACUCCGUGCCAGCAGCCGCGGUAAUACGGAGGGUGCAAGCGUUGUUCGGAUUUAUUGGGCGUAAAGCGAGUGUAGGCGGUUUGACAAGUCGGAUGUGAAAUCCCAGGGCCCAACCCUGGAACUGCAUCCGAUACUGUCAGGCUAGAGUCCCGGAGAGGGUGGCGGAAUUCCCGGUGUAGGGGUGAAAUCCGUAGAUAUCGGGAGGAACACCAGUGGCGAAGGCGGCCACCUGGACGGUGACUGACGCUCAGACUCGAAAGCGUGGGUAGCAAACAGGAUUAGAUACCCUGGUAGUCCACGCCGUAAACGGUGAGAGCUCGUCGUAGUGGGUAUUGACCCCUGCUGUGACCAAGUUAACGCAUGAAGCUCUCCGCCUGGGAAGUACGGUCGCAAGACUAAAACUCAAAGAAAUUGAC